UAUACAAAGGUAUUGAAAUAAGAUUUUAAAUGAGUGCUAAGAGRAUGAUUGAACAAUUAUAGGCUUUCUUUAGUUAAAUAAUUAAAUUUAAUUUUUUUAGUGCAAAAGCAAAAAUUAAAUUUAGGGACAAGAAGACCCUAUGAAUUUUAAUUUAAUUUAUAAUUUGAAAUUUUAAAUUAAAUUUGAUUGGGGCGAUGGAAAAAGAAUGAGUAUCUUUUUUAGUUKUAAAAAUUGGUUCCGUUUUUAACGAUUAAAUGAGAAAAAUACUCUAGGGAUAC
This 278-nucleotide ribosomal RNA is filed under the name Ixodes persulcatus (taiga tick). Its description in RNAcentral is "partial large subunit ribosomal RNA". The record is from RNAcentral. Lineage: Eukaryota; Metazoa; Arthropoda; Arachnida; Ixodida; Ixodidae.